AUUGGCCUAGAGCAUAGCGGCUCAUUAUCCUUCCACCGCUGGUGGCGGGCGGUACUCGCUGCUCUGUGAAGCCAGCCUCAUGCAAUGUCCGCCACUUUAGGUGUUAGGAUGCAAAGGCAUUCGCCAAGGCACCCGAAACCCACUACACAACUUGGAAUGGGUGGUCCACAGUUUGUAGCACUAGACUCAAGCACAUGCACCACUAUUGACAUCCACACUUCCUUAUUGCCCCCGCUCUGGUUACAAGCAAUCGCUACUUGCUCAACGAGUGAGGGGGUUCAGGACUACCUAUUUAAGGUGGUGUUGUACUCUAUGAGGCGGCGAUGUGGUAUUAACCAACAACAAAUAGUGUCAUGCAUGUGAGUUGCUAGUUGGCAGAGUCUGUUGUUGACCUAGCUAUGGGUUGUGGCUGAAGCACAUGACGAUAGAGUAGGCCUAUUAUGUUUUGUUGAUUUUGGGCCUUUGUGGACUUUAUGCUGAUGUCCAGAAUUUUUUUAUGUGUUUCCUCUUCCCUAUGAAGUGAAAAGUGGGUGCGUCAAAGAAGAAAGAAAGAGUGGCUAGCAUUGAUUUUACGUCAUCCCCUUGAGAACAUUAAUCAAAAGCAGAAGCAACAAUAUUUGAUACAUAUGCAACACAUGUAAUCCAUAUAAACAACUUUCCUUCAAAAAUAAUAUAAACCACAUGAUUAUAUCUUAGGUCGGUCAUAUCCACAAAGGGCAAGGACACGCACCUAAGUUUGUAGUUUAGAACUAAGAGUGUCUACUCUCACGAUUUCUUCCCGACAUAUGUAAACUGUACACUGAUCACGUAAAGUAAAGACAUAUGUGGUAACACGAACCUAUAGCAUGUAUUUCAACCUAUAGAUUGUUGAUUAUUAUGGUAGAUUAUAUAAUAUAGGGAUUCCCGAAGAAAUACGUAAAAACGAGAGAAUUAAAUUUUCCUUUUCAGAUUUGGCUAACUGGUAAAAGGAGUUGGAGUAUCUAAGUUUCCAAAUUUGGGAUGUAGAUGUAUAGAAGGAAUAUAAAUAUGUUGGAAAUUUUUCUACAAGGCAAGGUUUAACACAAGUUGGGACAAGAAAAAAGCAAUGAGGAUUUGAUUGCAUGGUCACAAAACUAGAGACAAGAAACAUGAAGAAACCAACGUAAUUAGUAUGAGAGUUUUCCAAAUUUGGUGUCUUGAUGUAGAAAAAAUAAAUAUAUGACAAACAGGUUUUUUGCAAGGCAUGGUAAAAUAUGUGGUUGUGAGCAAUGAAUUUCGUCCUAGAUUUAGAAGGAAUAAAUAUAUCACCAUAUAUGUUUUUUCAUAAUGCCAAGUUAAGCAUGUGGGACCGAGAAAAUAAUUCUAGCGAGGCUAGGUUGUACUAGCCCAAAACUAUAUACAACUAAGGAAAAAUAAAAAAUGAUGGUCUACCAAAUAUGGCGCAUGAGCCUUAAGGUGGACCUAGAGGGAAGUAGAAGAAAUAAAUAUAUAACAGAAUAUGUUUUCACAAUGUAAGGUAAAGUGUAGAUGUGCUCUAACUGGGCUUAGAUUGCAGCGACAUGUAAUCCAUCCACAAGGCUUGGUUGCACAUGGAAAAAUAUAGAGAGAGAAAUGUAGACGUAGGACCAAGAGAAAAACAAUCAAUGAGGCGUGAUUGCAUGAACAUAUAACUAGAUAGAAGAAAAGAGUUAAAGAAAAAUAAAGGAACUAAAUUUUCUUUUGCACACUUACCAUGAAUGGAGCUGUAGUAUCUGUGAUCUCAAUUUUAAUUUAUUCCAAGAUGCAGAAUUAUGUUGCGAGACUCGUAAUGGUUACAUAGGGAUAAAAGUAGAUAAGAAAAAUAGCAAAAAGAUAGUGGUCUACCAGAGAGGGCACAUGUGCCCUAAUUGGCCUACAGCAUAGCGGCUCAUUAUCCUUCCACCGCUGGUGGAGGGUGGUACUCGCUGCUCUGUGAAGUCAACCUCAUGCAAUGUCCGCCACUUUAGGUGUUGGGAUGCAAAGGCUUUUGCCAAGGCACACGAAACCCACGACAGAACUUGGAAUGGGUGGUCCACAUUUUGUAGCACUAGACCCAGGCUCAUGCACCACAAUUGACAUCCACACUACCGUAUUGCCCCCUCUCAGGUUACAAGCAAUCGCUACUUGCUCAGCGAGUGAGGGGGUUUAGGACUGCCUAUUUAAGGUGGUUUUGUAAUCUAUGAGCCGAUGUUGUGGUAUUUACCAACAACAAAUAGUAUCAUGCAUGUGAGUUGCUAGUUGGCAAAGUCUGUUGUCGAGCUAGCUAUGGGCUAUGGCAAAAGCACAUUAGGAUAGAAUAGACCAAUUCUAUUUUUUUGUUGUUUUUGGGCCAUUAUGGACUUUAUGUUGAUGUUGUCCUAAUUUUUCAUGUGUUUCCUCUUGCCUAUGAAGUGGAAAGUGGGUGCGUCAGAGAAGAAAGAAAGAGUGGCUAGCAUUCAUUUUACGUCAUCCCCUUAACGACAGUAACCAAAAGCAGAAGCAACAAUAUUUCAUACAUAUACAACACUUGUAAUCCAUAUAAACAACUUUCCUUCAAAAAAUAAUAUAAACCACAUGAUUUAUAUCUUGUGUCAGUCAUCUCCUCAAAGGGAAGGGAAACACUCCUAGGUUUGUAGUAUAGAACUAAGAGUGUCUACUCUCACGAUUUUUUCCCAACAUAUGCAAACUAGACACUAAUCACAUAAAGUAAAGACAUGUGUGGUAACAUGAGCUUAUAACAUGUAAACCUAUAGAUUGUUGAUUAUUAUGGUAGAUUAUAUAAUAUAGGGUUUCCUAGAGAAAUACGUAAAAAACAAUAGAAUUAAAAUUUCCUCUUCAGAUUUGGCUAACUUGUAAAAGGAGUUGGAGUAUCUGAGUUUCCAAAUUUGGGACGUAGAUGUAUAGAAGGAAUAUAAAUACAUUGGAAAAAUUCAACAACGUAAGGUCUAACACAAGUAGGGCUAAGAAAAAAUAAAUGAGCCUUUGGUCGCAUGAUCAUAAAACUAGAGACAAGAAACACAAAGAAACCAAGGUAAUUAGUAUGAGAGUUUUCCAAUGUAGAAAAAAUAAAUAUAUGAUAAACAUGUUUCUUUUGCAAGGCAUGGUAAAAUAAGUGGGAGUGAGCAAUAAAUUUCAUCAUAGAUUUAGAAGGAAUAAAUAUAUCAAUAAAUAUGUUUCACAAUGCCAAGUUAAGUAGGUGGGACCGAGAAAACAAUUCUAGCGAGGCUUGGUUGUACCAACCUGGAACUAGAUACAACAGAGGAAAAAUGAAAAAAAAUGAUGGUCUACCAAAUAUGGCGCAUGAGCCUUAAGGUGGACCUAGAGGGAAGUAUUAGAAAUAAAUAUAUAACUGAAUAUGUUUUUCGCAAUGCAAGGUAAAGUGUUGAUGUGCUCUAACUGGGCUUAGAUUGCAGCGACAAGUUAUCCAUCCACAAGGUUUGGUUGCACAUGGAAAACGAUGGAGAGAGAAAUGUUUACGCAGGACUAGGAGAAAAAAACAUUCAAUGAGGUGUGAUUGCGCAGACAUAGAACUAGAUAGAUGUAAAGAUUAAAGAAAAAUAAAGGGACUAAAUUUUCUUUAGCACACUUAGCAUGAAUGGAGUUGUAGUAUCUGAUAUCCCAAAUUUAAUUUGUUCUAGGAUGCAGAAGAAAUUGCAAGACUCGUAAUGAUUACAUAGGGACAAAAGUAGGUAAGAAAAAUAGCAAAAAGAUAGUGGUCUAUGAAAGAGGGCACUUGUGCCUUAAUUGUCCUAGAGCAUAGCGGCUCAUUAUCCUUCCACCGCUGGUGGUGGGCGGUACUCGCUUCUCAGUGAAGCCAGCCUCACGCAAUGUCCACCACUUUAGGUGUUGGGAUGCAAAGGCUUUCGCCAAGGCACCCGAAAGCCACUACACAACUUUGAAUGGGUGGUUCGCAGUUUGUAGGACUAGACCCAGGCACAUGCUCCACAAUUGACAUCCACACUAUCUGAUUGCCCCUGCUCGUGUUACAAGCAAUCGCUACUUGCUCAGCGAGUGAGGGGGUUAAAGACUCCCUAUUUAAGGUGGUGUUGUACUCUAUGAGCUGGCAGUGUGGUAUUUACCAACAACAAAUAGUGUCAUGCAUGCGAGUUGGUAGUUGGCAAAGUCUGUUGUUGAGCUAGCUGUGGGCUAGGCCUGAAGCACAUGAGGAUAGAGUAGGCCUAUUACCAAAGAAAUACAUAAAACAAACUAGAGAAUUAAAGUGGCAUUUUCAUUUGGUAAACUCAUAAAAGGACUUGGAGUAUCAGAAAUUCCAAAUUUGGGUCGUAGAUGUAGAGUAGGAAUAUCAAUACGUUGGAAUAAAAUUUCUACAAGGCAAGGUUUAACACAAAUAGGGCUAAUAAAAAAUCAAUGAGGCUUUGGUCGCAUGGUCACAAAACUAGAGACAAGAAACACAAAGAAACCAAGGUAAGUAAAAUUUAUAUUGCAGGCUCGGCUAAUCAUAUCAAAACAAUGGAGUCGGAGAAUAAGAGUUUCUAAAUUUGGUGUCUUGAUGUAGAAGAAAUAAAUAUAUGACAAACCUUUUUUGCAAGGCAUGGUAAUGUAGGUGGGAGUGAGAUAUGAAUUUCAUCUAGAUUUAGAAAUAUAUAUAUCAUUGAAUACGUUUUUUCGCAAUGCCAAGUUAAGCAAGUUGGACCGAGAAAACAAUUCCAGCAAGGCUUUUUUUACCUGCCCAAAACUAGAUACAACAGAGGAAAAUGAAAAAAAUCAUGGGUCUACCAAAUAUGGCGCAUGAGCCUUAAGGUGGACCUAUAGCGAAGGAGAAGAAAAAAAUAUAUAAUCGAAUAUGUUUUUGAAAGGAAAUGUGCCCUUGGGCCAUUUCUAUGUUGAUUUGGUGAUUAGAUGCUCAACACACUGCUAUGGACUAACAACUCCACAUAUGAGCAUGAGUACAGGUAUUUGAAAGGCAAAUUGAGAAAUAUAGGAGUAUAUUGAAAAUCCUAUUGCAUUGAAGGAACAAAGGUAUGAUUCUAGCACUUAGUAAAUUGUUUUAGUGCUAAUUAUGUUCAUCUAAGUGCUAGGACACUUCUCAAGUUGAACCAAUUUGGAGGUAUGGUGUUUGGCUAAGUGUUCUAGCAUUAUAAAGAUGAUUGGUGAUCAAUAAACACAAGACAAAAUAAUUGAAGAACUCAACAUGUACCAGAUAAAAUAAGGACAUUUGUACAUGAAAUUAUCGUAAGGCAAAGGAGAAAUAAGAACUUUAAUCCAGGUGGUUCUAUUUUGAAUACUGGUUUUAGAAUUCAAUUUGUUUCUUGCCUCUCACAAUUAUGUAAUUAUUAACUUGUUUAUGCAGCGAAGUGGUGGCUAAACCAUGGCACAAUGAGAGCACCUAGAGGGGUGAAUAGGUGAUCCUGCAAAAUCAACUCUAAACAACACAAACUUUGGUUUAUAAUGAGUGUUAGUGAAAACUAAAACCAAGUUGUUAUGAGUAGAGAUGGAGAGAGAGAGAGGAUCUCUUCACUUGAUUGCUCCUUUUAAAUGUGUAUCAAACUUAGCAGCAAUAUACAAGUGAAUAUGAGAACUCAAGAAGACAACAAUCGUGAUAAAAUAAAUGCAUAAGAGACACGGCAAUUUUAUCUCAUGGUUCGACCAAUGCUUACUCCAACAAUCGUGAUAAAAUAAAUGCAUAAGAGACACGGCAAUUUUAUCUCAUGGUUCGACCAAUGCUUACUCCACGUUGUGGUGACCUCCUUCGGUCAAGGGUUGCACUCAACCCCUCUCAAGUGAUCCAAAGAUCAAACUUGAGUACCACGGUUUUCUUCCUUAUAUCAAAUCCCCUUUGCGAGGAAUCUUCACAAGUUGGAGUCUCUCACACCUUACACAAAUGAUCUUAAUCAAAGCACAAGAGUAAGGGGAGUAGCAACACACACAAGAGCACAAGUGCAGCAACACCACGCACACAGCAAAGAAGAGAGCACAAGAAUCAAAACGACAGAGUUUCUCUCAAGAAAACGCUUAGUUCUCUCUAGAAUAAGUCGAAAGUGUGGUUGCGUUGAAUCGGAGUAUCGGUUGCUCUUGGUAUUCUUGGGUAACAGCUCCAUAUGCCCAGGGGUCCUUUUAUAGCCCCAAGGGCCAAAGGAGUCGUUGCUUCUUCGUUUAGAAGGCCCUGGUUGCCUUCUGUCCGGGUGUGUACCAGACAGUCCAGUGCACACCGGACACUGCAUAGUGCUCGAUUCACUUCCAUAAACAGCCGAGCCGACCGUUGAGAGUCGUUGCUACCUUUGGUCAGUAGGCACAUCGGACAGUCCGGUGGCGCACCGGAAAUUCUGUGCGGCCUGUUGACCAUUGGCCCGGCAGACGUGGCCACCACGUGGCCAACGCUGAUUGCGUGCCGACCGUUGGCACAGGCGAGAGCCGUUGGUCGCCUGGCUCACCGGACAGUUCGUUGCACACCAGAUAGUCCGGUGAAUUAUAGCCAGGGCACCCGACCAAUUUCCUGAGAGUGGCCAGUUCGGUCGUUGUGCCGUCUAGCACACCAGACACUGUCCGUGCACACGUGACAGUCCGGUGCUACCUAGACUAGCCCAAUUUUGCCCAACCUUAGCCAAACUUCUCUUCCCUAGUUUUGCUCGACUUAAGGAGUUUCCUAGAACUUAGAUGAACAUAGUUAGCAACUAAAACAAUUUACUAAGUGCUAGAAUCAUACCUUGUUCCUUUAAUGCAAUAGGAUUUACAAUGUACACACAUUCGCAGACUUGUUCAGUGGGGACUUGGUCGUUCGUUCCGCAUCGCAGACUUGCUUGGCAGGGACUUGGUCAUCCGAUCUGUCUUGUAGACUUGCUUUGCGGGGACUUGGUCGUCUGUUCCGCCUCGCAGACUUGCUUGGCGGGGACUUGGUCAUCCAGUCUACCUUGUAAACUUGCUUGGUGGGGACUUGGUCGUCUGGUCCGCCUUGUAGACUUGCUUGGCGAAGUCCUGGAGGCCGGGCCAAAACAGAGAUUUAUGGGCUUACUCUUGGUACCCUGUUCCUGGGUAUUCGAUAGCUGCCCCGAGCCUCUGUGCGACUACCUGUGGUUGCACAGAGGCUUUCUUUUGAGGAGUUGAUUUUCUCAGUGCAUGCUAGUGCAUCCGUUAGAUAUAUCCCUUGAGCCCCCAAGUAAUCCAUGAGGAUUGUUUGGGGUAUACAUAGUUUGUGUGCAUUUUCAGGGAUGGAUUCCUUCUGCAUUGGUAUUAUGUGUCGGGCGUGAGUUCAUCUGUUUUAAUGCCGAGUCAUUGUCUUCAAGGGCGAUCCUCCUGGUUUCUACUCGUCUUCUCUUCCGUGUUGGUGUCUCCCCAUUGGCUUCUCUUCGAAGUCUUCCUUUUAAGAGACCGUCUUUCCCCUCCGACCUAGUCGACGCGGGGAGGAGUCUGUCGAGCUAGAAGUGGGUUAUCCAAGUGAGGUUCGACCACCCUCCAGUAGGGUUAGGUCUCGGCAAGCGAUCCCACUAGGGGUGCCUAACCCGCUGGGGCAUCUCAUUGAGUCCUUCCUUAUUCGAUCCAGUUCUGGACCUCUGAUCGGCAUGACCAACCAAAGGGGGCCUCGUGGCCACCCCAUUAGUCGGGUUUCCAUGGAGAAUUUGAGGUAUUUUACCUAGUAGCACGGUGUAAUUGAUAGAGGACGAGGUCUGAUCUUUUGUGAGGUAUGAUAACUUUAUUGGGUGGACAUCUCGACGUUGAUGAUCCAAGGCUCCGAGCGAACGGAUCCUUGCAAUCACUACACCACGUAUCCAUUGGUUAUCACUCGUUACACACGACUCGAGUGUGACACGAGUGACCUCACCACAAAGGCUUAUCCUUGUAAGCGCAAUCAAGAACACAAGCAAGAUAAGAAGAACGCAACCAAAACUGUGUUGAUUACGGGUUGGGGUCUCACAAACCGAUGAAUGGCGAACUGUUCAAUGAUAGAUAUGAUCAAGCAAAACAAAAACCCUAAUGUGGGUGUCUGAUGUUAAAAUAGAGGUUAGGGGCAUGCACAACCCUUGGUGGUACCCCUAAUGGGCUCCAACACGAUACAUGAGCCAACAGCCCAACAGACGGUGUCACCGCACCAAAACAGAAUCUGAACGCAGAGUUGUUUCAACGAUUCCCGUUGACUCCAAAUGAAUUUUAAGUUGGUUCCAAUAGGGUUGGAAAGAUUAUCUCCUUAGUUGUCCAUCCAUACAAAGCCCAACCUAAUCGAAGGUUGGACGAAUCUUGGGCGUCGGUUUUAGUGCAAAAUGGUCCUCGACUCCGAGGUGGAGACAAAGUUGGAAAGCUUAUCUCCUUAGUUGUCCAUUCAUACAACAUCCUAGCUUUUCUACUUGACAUCUUGACCUUUCCCAAGACCUUGAUAGUCAUCUCCAAGGUUCCUAAUCAUCAAUACAUCCAUGACACAAAGCGUAAGCUCAAAAUAUAAUUGACUAAGUAAGAACGAACCUAGAGAUUUAGCUGUCGUGCAUGUGCUCGUUGUNNNNNNNNNNNNNNNNNNNNNNNNNNNNNNNNNNNNNNNNNNNNNNNNNNNNNNNNNNNNNNNNNNNNNNNNNNNNNNNNNNNNNNNNNNNNNNNNNNNNCAGUACAUUUCUUCUUCUUUGAUGAAGGCAAGUGAAUGUACGGUGGUUGCUUCCUUCUGACCUGUUAUUUCUAUCGCCUACACUCUAAUAUCAGAGUAUAGAUUCUUUAUAAUUGGACUCUAUGGUGAUGCUUUACUUGUUGCAUUAUACUGAUGUCAAUAUAUAUUGAUGAUGAUUAUGAUUUGAGUAUGCUCAUGAGUUAAUUCACACCCCUGAAGGUAAAUGAAGUAUUAUUUGAGGUUGGUAUUGUAUCUGAAGGUAAAUGAAGUAUUAUUUGAGGUUUGUGUUGAUCUGAAGGAAGUGAAGUUUAUUGAUAAAUGUAGCAUGCCAUAUACAUUGCAUGACUCAUUUGCAUAUGAAGUUUUGUCGUGACUAUGGUCCGACCGUACCGGUACAACUUAGCAUCGUACGUUGCCCGAGAAGGGGUACGAUGCGGCUUCAUACCCUUAGAGGUAUGAAGGCAGAGGACAUAUGCAUUGCAUUCAUAUGCAUUCAUUGAAGUGAUAUUUGCAGAUGAUGUGGUUUUAUACCCCCAGAGGUAUGAAGAUAGAGUACCUACACAUUGCAUUCCUAUGCAUACAUUGAAGUGAUAUUUGCAGGUAUUGUUGACUCAGGGAAGUGUUAUAGAACCUUUUGGUUGUUCGAGGAAAUGAGAUGGUAUUGGUUAUAGGGGACUACUGAGUUCUAUAUCUACAAGCAUUUCUGAUUUUAAUUGUGACUCUUUUAAAAUGUUGAUGAAUUCAAUUUGUGGUUUAAAUAUCUCGUCAGAACAAUUAGCUUGCUGAGAUGUUUCAUCUCACUCUUGCAUUACUCAAUGCAGGUGCUUGUGCUCAUCAAGGGGAGUGGGAAGUAGCAGCACAUCCACCUUCAUUCUCAUAAUAAUGCUGCCCAGACGCAGCCAUGAUUUAAUUAGAAACUUCUUGUCAAAGGAUGUUUGUUUUUAACUAGUCGUGCGCACUGAUUAAUUCAGUUCAUGUUUAUGGUUGUUCUUCCCAUUGCUAGCAGAUUAUUAAUGUUUAUAUGUUUUCUUAUCAUGAUAUCUAUUUAUACUUUGUUGCUUCCCCGUUUAUGCAAUUUUCAAAGGAGAUGCUGUCGAAAUUUUAUAUAUGAAUAUUAGAUGUGUAGUUUAGUAGCAUUCUGGGUGUUUGUGGAUCCCGGGUGUUACAGUUGGUAUCAAAGCAUAGGCUUAGAUUCUUGGCAAUUUGAAGAUAAAUUUGACACACUUGCACAUAUAGGAAGGGUAUGGGUUCAAAUAUCUUUGAUAUAUAUUAAUGUCUUUGGAGUGCAGAUGACAAUAGUUUCACCCCUCCCUAUUCCUUUAUGGUGAUGUGGUAAGUGUUUAUGGCUUAAUGCUUGAUAUAAUUUAUUUCUGAAAUUUUGAUAUUGUUUUAUUAAUGCGGUAGAUAUCGCUGGUCAUUGGUGAGAAUGAAUUGUUAUUAUGAUUGUGAUAUACAAGUAUGCCUAUGUUGUUUCACCAUGUUUUUCAUGGUUGAGUUUUAUUACAAUAAUAUUGUUAUAUAUGCUUGAUUGUGGAUGUUUCUAAGAGGAGUGUGAAUUGCGUGUUUGGGUACAAGGUAAUCAUCAAUUUGAAUUUAAGUUGUUGAGCGGUUGGUGGAUAGCUCCAACUAUCAUUGCAAAGAAUGAUUGUUUAUGUUGAGAAACCAGUUUUGAAAGAAAUGAAUAUUGGUACUUUAUAUGGAUUUUUGGGGGAAGUCUUUCAUAGCCAGAAUGGCUUACAUGUCGCUCUCAUAUUGUGUGUUUUAGUUGCCACAAAGCCUAGAUGUGGUUUAAAGUGGUUGCCUGUUAGUCAUACUAAUUGUAGAAUAAACCUUUGAUUCUCUUGAUCCAUUGAUUAUGUAUUGAUACAUUGAGGAUCUGAUGGUUCCCUUUUCGAUGCAUGCUUGUGGAGCCAUUUUUUUAGACCACCUAUCUAUUGGUUGAAGGAAGUCCUUGCCUAGCCUAGAGUUGGUUGGGUGUGGCUAGUCACCUAUUCCUAGAUCAUGUGGUGUUUACAUCAGCCUUAAUAUGUUUGUCAAAUGUGUGAAGGAUUAGGGGUUAUUAUUAUUGACUUUGUAUGUCUGGUACUUUGAGUGCAUCGUAUGAUGAAUGAAAUGUAAGUUUCUGAACUACAGUAGAUGAAGACUUAUAUUAUGUGUAGGUUAUCCUUACUAGUUGGAUAUUUUUCUUAGUUGAGAUGUUGAAUGAAGUAUAGUGACAUGGGUUAAGCAAGUAUUGUGUUGUUGUUGGGCUAUCAGUGCUCUAUGUAGAGUUUUUGGCAUUUCUUCGAUGAACUAUGCCGCACAAGAUGUUAUUGGCUUCUUUUGGCUUUAUUGCUCCAUUAGUUCUAUAGAUUUUCUCCCUUUUGGUGGGGUGCAAGGAAUGUUAGAUUACAUGAUUAUCUUUUCAUGAUGGCAAGAAUAAGGUUUAGGAAGAUUAGGAGUUUUGUUCCAAUAGAACUACUUGUUUCAUAGUGCUUUAAGGUGAGGCGUUUGAUCUUCUUAUACAUUCGUCGGGUGUAGAUGUUUCACCAUUUAAUUAAAAUUAAUGGUUGAAGUUGGUAAGGGUUGUGCUUGGUGCUAUUACCCCUUCAUAAAAGAGUGUUGUCUUAAGACAUUGAUGUUGAUGUAUAGCUGCAUCCAAUUUGAUGGUGUGAAUUGGAGUGUUGAUUGCAACUAUGACAUGCUUUGAGCUUCAUUACAUGUUGUUUCAUGCUUGAUGUCAGGUCGUGUAGUUUCCUUAGACCAAUUAGUCCAAGGUAGAGUUCUUGUGUUAAUUAAGACCAAUAAUGGACCCAUGUUUUGAAUUGUGGUGCUAUAUGGGGUACCUUGGGUGUUUUGCUUGGAGUGGCCGAAUUCGAGGUCGAAUUCUUUUUAAGGGGGGUAGAGUGUAAUAUCCCAAAAAAAUGUUGACCAAAAGUUAAUCUUUGGUGCGUGGAUGAGGUAAAGGGUUGUGGGCCAUUGGAUGCAAAGAUAGAAGUCAUCUGAGGCGUCGUUUCUUUCUCCCACAAAAACCCUAGGUGGCCACCCUUUUUUUUCCCUUCACCCCCCCCCCCCCCUCUUGGUCGCCACCCCCUUUUUCUCCCCCUUGGCUGGACGCCCCCUCCCCCUAUGGCAGCCAUCCUCCAUUGCUUCCUCCCCAAGAUCUCCCCCUACGCAGCAAGGAUCAAGAAAAGGAGGGGCACGUUGAAUUGAAGAGGAAGAGAGGAUCAAGGAGAUGUUCUUCCCAUCUCCUCUUGAAGAUUUCUUGGGGAAACCCUAGGUAUGGAUGAGAUCCUUGUUCCUCCCUGUAAUUAUAGGCUUUUGGAGGUUGUGGAUCAUGGGAAUUAAAGGAUUAGAGGUUGGAUUUGAUGCGGGUUAGGUUUUGAUCUCGAAUUUAGUUUUCUGCAGAAUGGCAGAUUCGACAGUUUCUGUUCAUGCCAGUUUUCCGUGGUCUUAGUGGCCUCAAAAAAAUAAAAAGUCUAUGUAUGAGUCGUAGAUAAUUUGUAGAUCUUUCCGUGGCCGCGAUGAACACCUCAAUCGGACAUCCGACCAGAAGUUAUUGCAGUUUUACUAUAGCAGUUUUUCAGUCUCAUAAUUCUGUGCAGAAUCUGUUCUCUUAAGAUUUAGGCAAUUUUAUCAACAGAAUUAAACUGUGGGUUGGUAAAAGAAGUUUUAGAUAAUUUUAUAAGCUUUCCAGAUUGUUAAAGAGUGCAUUCAUAUGAUUUGUGAAACUCCAGUUAUGUUUGUUUUACUGUGGCUGUUCCUGUUUACCUGACAAAAAUGAGUGGGUCUGUUCACUGGUGGGUUUCAUCUAGUAAAUGGACGAAUUGGCUCUUCCAACUAUGGAGACUUUUGUAGAGGGAUAAAAGUUCUUACUUCCAGCAGAAUUUCAUAAUUUUUGGUUCAGCAGUUUUGGAGAUAUCGAAUUUUAAAGUUAACCAUACUGCUGUCUAAAACAGAUUCAGUCAGUUAUCUUGUCAGAUGUUUUAGAACUUGUAGAUGGCAGAAUUUAAUUAUCUAUUGAAUAUUGAAGUUGUAGAGUAUUUGUGUAGAUACUCCUAGAGUAUUUGUUUGAUAUCACCGCUGUUUUAAUUUUAAAGAUACAAAAUUAACAACAGCGUUGCUGCUGUAUGGCAUGUGGUUCAGGGUGGGAGUCUUUCCACUGGGUCUUGGUUUCAAGUGUAGGAGUGUUUUGUUGAUUGAUGGCAAAUGUUUGUGAAAUAUUUGUACUAAGUUUUAUGCCCACUAGCAGGUGGCUACACUCCAGAUCAUGUCUAGUACAUUUCUUCUUCUUUGAUGAAGGCGAGUGAAUGUAGCGGUGGUUGCUUCCGUUCUGACCUGUUAUUUCUAUCGCCUACACUCUAAUAUUCAGAAGUAUCAGAUUCUUUCAUAAUUGGACUCUAUGGUGAUGCUUUACUUGCUUGCAUUAUACUGAUGCUCAAUGAUAUAUUGAUGAUGAUUAUGAUUUGAGUAUGACUCAUGAGAUUAAUUCACACCCCUGAAGGUAAUGAAGUAUUAUUUGAGGUUGGUAUUGUAUCUGAAGGUAAAUAAAGUAUUAUUUGAGGUUUGUGUUGUAUCUGAAGGAAGUGAAGUUUAUUGAUAAAUGUAGCAUGCCAUAUACAUUGCAUGACUCAUUUGCAUAUGAAGUUUUGUCGUGACCUAUGGUCCGACCGUACCGGUACAACUUAGCAUCGUACGUUGCCCGAGAAGGGGUACGAUGCGGCUUCAUACCCUUAGAGGUAUGAAGGCAGAGGACAUAUGCAUUGCAUUCAUAUGCAUUCAUUGAAGUGAUAUUUGCAGAUGAUGUGGUUUUAUACCCCAGAGGUAUGAAGAUAGAGUACCUACACAUUGCAUUCCUAUGCAUACAUUGAAGUGAUAUUUGCAGGUAUUGUUGACUCAGGGAAGUGUUAUAGAACUAUUGUGGUUGUUCGAGGAAAUGAGAUGGUAUUGGUUAUAGUGGGACUACUGAGUUCUAUAUCUACAAGCAUUUCUGAUUUUUAAUUGUGACUCUUUUAAAAUGUUGAUGAAUUCAAUUUGUGGUUUAAAUAUCUCGUCAGAACAAUUAGCUUGCUGAGAUGUUUCAUCUCACUCUUGCAUUACUCAAUGCAGGUGCUUGUUGCUCAUCAAGGGGAGUGGGAAGUAGCAGCACAUCCACCUUCAUUCUCAUAAUAAUGCUGCCCAGACGCAGCCAUGAUUUAAUUAGAAACUUCUUGUCAAAGGAUGUUUGUUUUUAACUAGUCGUGCGCACUGAUUAAUUCAGUUCAUGUUGUUAUGGUUGUCUUCCCAUUGCUAGCAGAUUAUUAAUGUCUUAUAUGUUUUCUUAUCAUGAUAUCUAUUUAUACUUUGUUGCUUCCCCCGUUUAUGCAAUUUUCAAAGGAGAUGCUGUCGAAAUUUUAUAUAUGAAUAUUAGAUGUGUAGUUUAGUAGCAUUCUGGGGUGUUUGUGGAUCCCGGGGUGUUACACUAUUUAAGGUGGUGUUGUACUCUAUGAGGCGGCGAUGUGGUAUUAACCAAUAACAAAUAGUGUCAUGCAUGUGAGUUGCUAGUUGGCAAAGUCUGUUGUUGACCUAGCUAUGGGUUGUGGUUGAAGCACAUGACGAUAGAGUAGGCCUAUUAUGUUUUGUUGAUUUUGGGCCUUUGUGGACUUUAUGCUGAUGUCCAUAAUUUUUUUUGUGUUUCCUCUUCCCUAUGAAGUGGAAAGUGGGUGCGUCAGAGAAGUAAGAAAGAGUGGCUAGCAUUGAUUUUACGUCAUCCCCUUGAGAACAUUAAUCAAAAGCAGAAGCAACAAUAUUUGAUACAUAUACAACACAUGUAAUCCAUAUAAACAACUUUCCUUCAAAAAUAAUAUAAACCACAUGAUUAUAUCUUAGGUCGGUCAUAUCCACAAAGGGCAAGGACACGCACCUAAGUUUGUAGUUUAGAACUAAGAGUGUCUGCUCUCACGAUUUCUUCCCGACAUAUGCAAACUGGACACUGAUCACGUAAAGUAAAGACAUAUGUGGUAACACGAACCUAUAGCAUGUAUUUCAACCUAUAGAUUGUUGAUUAUUAUGGUAGAUUAUAUAAUAUAGGGAUUCCCGAAGAAAUACGUAAAAACGAGAGAAUUAAAUUUUCCUUUUCAGAUUUGGCUAACUGGUAAAAGGAGUUGGAGUAUCUGAGUUUCCAAAUUUGGGACGUAGAUGUAUAGAAGGAAUAUAAAUACGUUGGAAAUUUUUCUACAAGGCAAGGUUUAACACAAGUUGGGACAAGAAAAAACCAAUGAGGCUUUGAUCGCAUGAUCACAAAACUAGAGACAAGAAACAUGAAGAAACCAAGGUAAUUAGUAUGAGAGUUUUCCAAAUUUGGUGUCUUGAUGUAGAAAAAAUAAAUAUAUGACAAACAUAUUUUUCUACAAGGCAUGGUAUAAUAAGUGGGAGUGAGUAAUAAAUUUCAUCAUAGAUUUAGAAGGAAGAAUUAUAUCAAUAAAUAUGUUCUUUCAUAAUGCUAAGUUAAGCACGUGGGGCUGAGAAAUCAAUUCUACCGAGGCUUGCUUGUACAAGCCCCAAACUAGAUACAACAGAGGAAAAAUGAAAAAAUGUUGCUCUACCAAAUAUGGCGCAUGAGCCUUAAGGUGGACCUGGAGGGAAGUAGAAGAAACAAAUAUAUAACUGAAUAUGUUUUUUGCAAUGCAAGGUAAAGUGUAGAUGCGCUCUAACUAGGCUUAAAUUGCAGCGACACGUUAUCCAUCCACAAGGCUUGGUUGCACAUAGAAAAAGGUAAAGAGAAAAAUGUAGACGUAGGAUGGGUUGAAAAACAUUCAAUGAGGCAUGAUUACACGGACAUAGAACUAGAUAGAAGAAAAGACUUAAAGAAAAAUAAAGGAAGUAAAUUUUCUUUUGCACACUAAGCAUGAAUGGAGUUGUAGUAUCUGAGAUCCCAAAUUUAAUUUGUUCCAAGAUGUAGAACAAAAUUGCGAGACUCGUAAUGAUUACAUAGGGACAAAAGUAGUUAAGAAAAAUAGCAAAAAGAUAGUGGUCUACCAUAGAGGGCACAUGUUCCCUAAUUGGCCUAGAGCAUACUGGCUCAUUAUCCUUCCACCGCUGGUGGCGGGCGGUACUCGCUGCUCUGUGAAGCCAGCCUCACGCAAUGUCCGCCACUUUAGGUAUUAGGAUGCAAAGGCAUUCGCCAAGGCACCCGAAACCCACUACACAACUUGGAAUGGGUGGUCCACAGUUUGUAGCACUAGACCCAAGCACAUGCACCACAAUUGACAUCCACACUUCCUU
RNAcentral lists this long non-coding RNA (15763 nucleotides) under Zea mays. Its description in RNAcentral is "long non-coding RNA (ZMAY_LNC000508)". The record is from RNAcentral. Lineage: Eukaryota; Viridiplantae; Streptophyta; Magnoliopsida; Poales; Poaceae.